This 182-nucleotide non-coding RNA is filed under the name uncultured Dorea sp. Its description in RNAcentral is "Lysine riboswitch". It matches the Rfam family "Lysine riboswitch aptamer". From Rfam's summary of the family: Riboswitches are metabolite binding domains within certain messenger RNAs that serve as precision sensors for their corresponding targets. The record is from RNAcentral. Lineage: Bacteria; Bacillati; Bacillota; Clostridia; Lachnospirales; Lachnospiraceae.
AGAUAGAGGCGCAGGUUUCAUCAGUAAGACAGAACAACAGAUAAAGGGAAAUCAUUUCUGCCUGAAAGGGAAAACUGCCGAAGGAAGAUAUCAUCCCUUAAGAGUUAUAUUCGAGAUAUACUUCCUGGGACGCAGCAGAAUAUGCUGCGGACUGUCACUUCAGUAAGUGGAGCGCUAUCGGA